Cinara cedri is the source of this 532-nucleotide non-coding RNA. Lineage: Eukaryota; Metazoa; Arthropoda; Insecta; Hemiptera; Aphididae. The record is from the annotation of a GenBank genome assembly.
AAAGAAAUCAUUUAUUUUAUGUAUUAUAAUAAAAGGGUAUUCUAUGAUGAAGAUCCAAUUAAAAUAAUAAACUUUAUAUUAUUUACUUUAUGUAAAUGUAAUUAUUUUUCAGGACUUGAUAUGAAUUUUAAUAUUAUAUUCAAUAAAAAAAACCUGAAUAUAGAUAUUUUGCACGAAAGAAAGAUAAUACACAUACAGAAAAAGGAAGAAAAAAUAUAGCUUUUUGGUAAUGAGGAAAUAAAAAUGGGAAAAUGACAAAAGUCUACAAUAUAGUAUUAAGUUUUUCUCCUUUUUAUUUUCUCUUCUCCCAUAAGUCCAAGUUCAAUAUUAAACUAGAACAGUAUCUUAUAGGGGUAAGGAAAUGUAAUAUGUUGAUGAUACAUGUAAAUAUUAUUUUAAUAGCUGUAUUCAUUAUUCUAAUGAAAUCAUUUAUUUUAUGUAGUAUAAUAAAAGGGUACUUAUAUGUUGAAGAUCCUAUUAUUAUAAUAAACUUUAUAUUAUCUUCUUUAUGUAAAUGUAAUUAUUUUUCAGG